Molecule: transfer RNA, 62 nt
Filed under: Sinodendron rugosum
Lineage: Eukaryota; Metazoa; Arthropoda; Insecta; Coleoptera; Lucanidae
Description: tRNA-Cys
Source: RNAcentral
AGUCUUAUAUUCAAUUAUGAUUUUGAAUUGCAAAUUCAAAGGUGAAGAUUUUUCUAAGGCUU